Non-coding RNA from Penaeus vannamei (Pacific white shrimp), 243 nucleotides. Lineage: Eukaryota; Metazoa; Arthropoda; Malacostraca; Decapoda; Penaeidae. The record is from RefSeq and is a predicted model, not a curated record.
CGAGGUGGCAGCCGAGGGCGAGGUGGCAGCCGAGGCGAGUGGCAGCCGAGGCGCCGCAAGAAGACAGCGACGCGGUCACUCCGGAAGACGAGACCGAUGAAUCAAUAAAGCACACCUCUUCACUGAGCUGCCGACGGAGGAGACCUUCCUGCGGUGGAAUUCCUGGCGGCGAACGGCGUCGACCUCAACGCCAGAAACUGCUAUGGGCGAGGUGGCAGCCGAGGGCGAGGUGGCAGCGAGGGC